Molecule: RNA transcript, 2000 nt
Organism: Elaeis guineensis (African oil palm)
Lineage: Eukaryota; Viridiplantae; Streptophyta; Magnoliopsida; Arecales; Arecaceae
Source: RefSeq, a predicted model, not a curated record
AUCGGCCGAGUCAGGCGACUCUUCGUCGUCACUUUACAUAAAAAGAUGAAAAAAAUUUAAGGUCAAGGCGUAGGGGGAGGAGGACGUGCCUAGCCGCCUACCACCACACCGACGCGGAGAGGCGGAGGGAGAGUAGCCGCUCGCCGCGCGAGUCGCCAUGGCGUUCUCCUUCUUCAAGCCUUCCAAGGCCAGGUCGUCCCCGUCCGAUCUCGUGAAGGCCAUGCGGGAGAGCCUCCUCGCACUCGAUACCAAGACCGUCGCAAAGGCUCGUGAAGAAGCUGAAAAGAAUAUUCUUUCAAUGAGGCAAAUGCUGUCUGGGGAUGGAGAAGCUGAACCAAAUCAGGAGCAGAUUUCGCAAAUUGCUCUUGAAAUUUGCAAGGAGGGUGUUCUUUCCCUUUUUGUUCAUAAAUUGCCAUCAUUGGGAUGGGAUGCUAGAAAAGAUAUAGUGCACUGUUGGUGCAUUUUGUUAAGGCAGCAAGUUGGUUCUGGUUAUUGCUGCGUGGAGUAUAUUGUGAAUCAUUUGGAACUUUUGGACUUCCUGGUUGUUUGUUAUAACAACAAAGAAAUUGCAUUGAAUUGCGGUAACAUGUUGAGGGAAUGCAUCAAAUAUCCAACGCUUGCAAAAUAUCUAUUGGAAUCAAGUAGCUUUGAACUGUUCUUCAAGUAUGUCGAACUCCCAAACUUUGAUAUUGCUUCUGAUGCUCUUGCCACGUUCAAGGACUUGCUUACUAAACAUGAAACUGCAGUUUCCCAGUUCUUGAGUUCCCACUAUGAACAGUUCUUUGAGCUCUAUGAAAAGUUGUUGACAUCUACAAACUAUGUGACAAGAAGACAAUCCUUGAAGUUUCUUUCGGAAUUUCUUUUGGAGCCUCCAAAUUCGCAGAUCAUGAAGCGCUACAUUCUGGAAGUUCGAUACUUGAAAAUUAUGAUGGCACUUUUGAAGGAUUCAAGCAAAAAUAUCCAGAUUUGUGCAUUCCAUAUUUUUAAGGUAUUUGUUGCUAAUCCAAAUAAGCCACGUGAGAUCAUUGAACUCUUGGCAAACAAUCAUGCAGAAUUGCUGAUGCUACUUCACAGUCUGCCUACAAGCAGAAGAGAACCUGAAGCACCAAAACAGAAGAACGUUCUCAGUGAUCCGGUGUUUGGAAUACAACCAAAAAGUCUUACAGGUCCAGCGUGUAUCAAGGGUGUUAACAUUGAAUGGUGAAACGAUCAGUACAUACUGUGGAUUUAUUUAUAUGAAAUAGAGAAUGCCAAAUGCUUGUUAAAUGGCGAAGACGAGCAGCUUGAAGAGGAGAGAGAUUUAGUAAUCAAGGAGAUUGAAAGACUUUCACAUCGAUCAUAGGCAGCCACUUAGUGAUGUGUUUUUGUAUUUAGACAUUUUCCUGGUUUGUUUCUCAAAUUUCAUGAUUGGCAUUAUGAUACUUCUUCCUGAAAGCAUUUAUGUCAAAUUAAGCCUCCUCUAAGAAAAAUGGUCAGUUGAUAGGGGAUUUGUAAGUUUAAUCUGAGUGUGGUAACCAUCAGUCCCUAGAUGGGAUGUAACAGUGAGUAGUCCUUUUUUUUUUUUAUGUGGGGGGAUUGGUUUGGGUUGGGGGGGGUGGGUGUGGGAACCAAAAGUAAGGGAGAAUAUAAAUAUUUAUGAUUGAGACCUCAGUAGUGCUAUAGUGGCAUGCAACAUAGAUGCUGCAUUAUAGAUCAUCUCUCGAGCCUGGAAAAUGCAAGCGGGCUGCUUCGUCUUAUUGGCAGUGUAGAGACAAAAUGUAAUUCAAGAACCAGAACCCUAUGGAUCAGGUUGUAUUAGGAUAUCAUCUGAAAGUAUGAAGCCUUGUCUUAUUUGGGAAUGGUACAAAUUCCCAGCAAUUAAUUUUGGCCUUGGGACAGUAUAGGUGGAAACAUCACCAGUUCUCUCCCUGAUUGUUACUAAGCUUUUUCAUAAAUGAUGUCUCCCUCCUGCUUCCCUACCCCAUGCCCUGAUUAAAAUUGAACUUUCAACACUUCUAUUC